UUAAUGAUCACCCAAGCUAGGGGAUCAUAAGUUUGACGCUUGACGAGCUAGGUGAAAGCUUGGGAAGGAAGCGAGUCAAACGAAUCAGGAAUGAAGGAAAAGCAUAAUCUGGAUGCUAGGAAUAUAUAUCGAAUGGAUAUUUGCAUCGUUAUUACUUAGCGGUUAUUAAGCAA
Molecule: long non-coding RNA, 173 nt
Organism: Helianthus annuus (common sunflower)
Lineage: Eukaryota; Viridiplantae; Streptophyta; Magnoliopsida; Asterales; Asteraceae
Exons: 3
Source: RefSeq, a predicted model, not a curated record